GACAGAGGGUGCAACCGUUGUUCGGAAUUACUGGGCGUAAAGCGCGUGUAGGCGGCAUGACAAGUCGGAUGUGAAAGCCCUGGGCUCAACCCAGGAAGUGCAUUCGAUACUGCCGUGCUAGAGUCCCGGAGAGGGUGGUGGAACUCUCGGUGUAGAGGUGAAAUUCGUAGAUAUCGAGAAGAACACCGGUGGCGAAGGCGGCCACCUGGACGGUGACUGACGCUGAGACGCGAAAGCGUGGGGAGCAAACAGG
This 253-nucleotide ribosomal RNA is filed under the name uncultured bacterium. Its description in RNAcentral is "partial 16S ribosomal RNA". It matches the Rfam family "Bacterial small subunit ribosomal RNA", at positions 524 to 776 of the family's 1533-position model. The record is from RNAcentral.